ACCGCUACUGCCUACUGGCGCUGAUGAGCCGCGGGGCCGUCAUCUUGAAUCGGUCACCCGCUCUACUCAGUGUAAGCUGUCAGUGCAUUUAAUUAAUCAUACCUGGAGCAAUGAGGGGGUGACUGGAGCAAUGAGGGGGUGUAUGGAGUAAAUGAGGAGCUGACAGGAGGCAACCUGGAGUGACUGGAGUCAAUGAGGAGGUGACAGGAGGCAAUGAGAGGGUGACUGGACUAAUCUGGGGGUAACUGGAGCAUUCUGGGGGUGUAUGCAGCAAUGAGGGGGUGUCAGAACAAUGAG
Molecule: non-coding RNA, 297 nt
Organism: Pelobates cultripes (western spadefoot toad)
Lineage: Eukaryota; Metazoa; Chordata; Amphibia; Anura; Pelobatidae
Source: the annotation of a GenBank genome assembly